GUGUUCACUCUGGCAGCACAUAUACUAAAACUGGAACGAUACAGAGAAGAUUAGCAUGACCCUUGAGCAAGGAUGACACGCAAAUUCGUGAAGCAUUCAAAAAAAUAUUUUU
Small nuclear RNA from Suncus etruscus (white-toothed pygmy shrew), 112 nucleotides. The record is from RefSeq and is a predicted model, not a curated record. Lineage: Eukaryota; Metazoa; Chordata; Mammalia; Eulipotyphla; Soricidae.